UUAGGGUUUUAUUUAUUUUUCUCCUUACUAUAUAAGGAUAAAAAACAAUUGUAAGAGGGAGCUUUUAAUCAAAAUUUCAGAAUUCUUCUCAUGCCUUUGGCGUGUAUUGCUUUGAGUGAGAGUGAGGAUUUGCUUUCAUCAAUUGCACCAGGAAUCUUGGCUAACUUAUCAACUAUUCGUUGUGGUGUUUGUCAGAUUCUCAUCUAAAU
RNAcentral lists this long non-coding RNA (209 nucleotides) under Manihot esculenta (cassava). RNAcentral's name for it is "long non-coding RNA (MESC_LNC003451)". Lineage: Eukaryota; Viridiplantae; Streptophyta; Magnoliopsida; Malpighiales; Euphorbiaceae. The record is from RNAcentral.